This 359-nucleotide long non-coding RNA is filed under the name Nicotiana benthamiana. Its description in RNAcentral is "long non-coding RNA (NBEN_LNC019963)". The record is from RNAcentral. Lineage: Eukaryota; Viridiplantae; Streptophyta; Magnoliopsida; Solanales; Solanaceae.
UUUGACAAACCUAGAGCAUUGGAUAAGUUGAAAAAGGAGUAAUAGGCAUGUAAAACUAUUCCUCUAGCGCUAUAUAUUAUAAUACCACGUUAAGUUUUGAACACUGAAAUGGUGUAUAACUAAAAUGUCUGCUUAUAAUUGUAUGAGUGGAAAAAAGAAGAUACCUAUUGAGAGCAAAGCACCAUCUCAAGUCAGUAUCAAUCUCUUCUUCAUACCAACAGCUCUUUCUAAUUGGACCUACAACUAUUGCAUGUCCAUUUCCAUUAUUAUUCAAUCCAUUCCCAUUAGCAGAGCAAGAUAUUUCACCCAUUAUUCAACACUUGAUCAAAAUUAAGAAAUAGAAGAGAAGGAGACAAGUG